RNAcentral lists this ribosomal RNA (1541 nucleotides) under Klebsiella pneumoniae. RNAcentral's name for it is "16S ribosomal RNA". It matches the Rfam family "Bacterial small subunit ribosomal RNA". Lineage: Bacteria; Pseudomonadati; Pseudomonadota; Gammaproteobacteria; Enterobacterales; Enterobacteriaceae. RNAcentral also lists the same sequence under 1 other name. The record is from RNAcentral.
AAAUUGAAGAGUUUGAUCAUGGCUCAGAUUGAACGCUGGCGGCAGGCCUAACACAUGCAAGUCGAGCGGUAGCACAGAGAGCUUGCUCUCGGGUGACGAGCGGCGGACGGGUGAGUAAUGUCUGGGAAACUGCCUGAUGGAGGGGGAUAACUACUGGAAACGGUAGCUAAUACCGCAUAAUGUCGCAAGACCAAAGUGGGGGACCUUCGGGCCUCAUGCCAUCAGAUGUGCCCAGAUGGGAUUAGCUAGUAGGUGGGGUAACGGCUCACCUAGGCGACGAUCCCUAGCUGGUCUGAGAGGAUGACCAGCCACACUGGAACUGAGACACGGUCCAGACUCCUACGGGAGGCAGCAGUGGGGAAUAUUGCACAAUGGGCGCAAGCCUGAUGCAGCCAUGCCGCGUGUGUGAAGAAGGCCUUCGGGUUGUAAAGCACUUUCAGCGGGGAGGAAGGCGUUAAGGUUAAUAACCUUGGCGAUUGACGUUACCCGCAGAAGAAGCACCGGCUAACUCCGUGCCAGCAGCCGCGGUAAUACGGAGGGUGCAAGCGUUAAUCGGAAUUACUGGGCGUAAAGCGCACGCAGGCGGUCUGUCAAGUCGGAUGUGAAAUCCCCGGGCUCAACCUGGGAACUGCAUUCGAAACUGGCAGGCUAGAGUCUUGUAGAGGGGGGUAGAAUUCCAGGUGUAGCGGUGAAAUGCGUAGAGAUCUGGAGGAAUACCGGUGGCGAAGGCGGCCCCCUGGACAAAGACUGACGCUCAGGUGCGAAAGCGUGGGGAGCAAACAGGAUUAGAUACCCUGGUAGUCCACGCCGUAAACGAUGUCGAUUUGGAGGUUGUGCCCUUGAGGCGUGGCUUCCGGAGCUAACGCGUUAAAUCGACCGCCUGGGGAGUACGGCCGCAAGGUUAAAACUCAAAUGAAUUGACGGGGGCCCGCACAAGCGGUGGAGCAUGUGGUUUAAUUCGAUGCAACGCGAAGAACCUUACCUGGUCUUGACAUCCACAGAACUUUCCAGAGAUGGAUUGGUGCCUUCGGGAACUGUGAGACAGGUGCUGCAUGGCUGUCGUCAGCUCGUGUUGUGAAAUGUUGGGUUAAGUCCCGCAACGAGCGCAACCCUUAUCCUUUGUUGCCAGCGGUUACGGCCGGGAACUCAAAGGAGACUGCCAGUGAUAAACUGGAGGAAGGUGGGGAUGACGUCAAGUCAUCAUGGCCCUUACGACCAGGGCUACACACGUGCUACAAUGGCAUAUACAAAGAGAAGCGACCUCGCGAGAGCAAGCGGACCUCAUAAAGUAUGUCGUAGUCCGGAUUGGAGUCUGCAACUCGACUCCAUGAAGUCGGAAUCGCUAGUAAUCGUAGAUCAGAAUGCUACGGUGAAUACGUUCCCGGGCCUUGUACACACCGCCCGUCACACCAUGGGAGUGGGUUGCAAAAGAAGUAGGUAGCUUAACCUUCGGGAGGGCGCUUACCACUUUGUGAUUCAUGACUGGGGUGAAGUCGUAACAAGGUAACCGUAGGGGAACCUGCGGUUGGAUCACCUCCUUA